UACGUAGGGGGCAAGCGUUGUCCGGAUUUAUUGGGCGUAAAGAGCGUGUAGGCGGCCAUACAGGUCAGCUGUGAAAACUCGAGGCUCAACCUCGAGACGUCGGUUGAAACCGUAUGGCUAGAGUCCGGAAGAGGAGAGUGGAAUUCCCGGUGUAGCGGUGAAAUGCGCAGAUAUCGGGAAGAACACCCAUGGCGAAGGCAGCUCUCUGGGACGGUACUGACGCUGAGACGCGAAAGCGUGGGGAGCGAGCAGG
RNAcentral lists this ribosomal RNA (253 nucleotides) under uncultured bacterium. Its description in RNAcentral is "partial 16S ribosomal RNA". It matches the Rfam family "Bacterial small subunit ribosomal RNA", at positions 524 to 776 of the family's 1533-position model. The record is from RNAcentral.